RNAcentral lists this ribosomal RNA (1206 nucleotides) under uncultured organism. RNAcentral's name for it is "bacterial SSU rRNA". It matches the Rfam family "Bacterial small subunit ribosomal RNA", at positions 156 to 1340 of the family's 1533-position model. The record is from RNAcentral.
CGGCCUGCUAAUACCGCAUGUGUCCCCGGAAUCGCAUGGUUCCGGGAAGAAAGGUGGCCUCUCCUUGGAAGCUAUCGCUUAAGGAUGGUCCCGCGUCCCAUUAGCUUGUUGGUGGGGUAAUGGCCUACCAAGGCGACGAUGGGUAGCCGGCCUGAGAGGGUGUCCGGCCACACUGGGACUGAGAUACGGCCCAGACUCCUACGGGAGGCAGCAGUCGAGAAGCUUCGGCAAUGGGCGAAAGCCUGACCGAGCGACGCCGCGUGAGCGAUGAAGGUCCUAUGGAUUGUAAAGCUCUGUCAGAUUGGGAAGAAAACUUCGCGAUUAAUACCCGCGAAGCUUGACGGUACCAUCAGAGGAAGCACCGGCUAACUCCGUGCCAGCAGCCGCGGUAAUACGGAGGGUGCGAGCGUUGUUCGGAUUCACUGGGUAUAAAGGGUGCGUAGGCGGCCUCGUAAGUCAGGGGUGAAAUAUGACGGCUCAACCGUCAAACUGCCCCUGAAACUGCAAGGCUUGAGUCCGGGAGAGGAAGGUGGAAUUCCUGGUGUAGCGGUGAAAUGCGUAAAUAUCAGGAGGAACACCGGUGGCGAAGGCGGCCUUCUGGUCCGGUACUGACGCUGAGGCACGAAAGCUAGGGGAGCGAACAGGAUUAGAUACCCUGGUAGUCCUAGCCGUAAACGAUGGGCACUAGGUGUCGGAGGAGUCUACCCCUUCGGUGCCGUAGCUAAUGCAUUAAGUGCCCCACCUGGGGAGUACGAUCGCAAGGUUGAAACUCAAAGGAAUUGACGGGGGCCCGCACAAGCGGUGGAGCAUGUGGUUUAAUUCGAUGCAACGCGAAGAACCUUACCUGGGCUUGACAUGCAGGGGACAGGUGCAGAAAUGUACCCUUCUUCGGACCCCUGUGCAGGUGCUGCAUGGCUGUCGUCAGCUCGUGUCGUGAAAUGUUGGGUUAAGUCCCGCAACGAGCGCAACCCCUGUCUUCAGUUGCCAUCAGUUCGGCUGGGGACUCUGGAGAGACUGCCGGUGACAAACCGGAGGAAGGUGGGGACGACGUCAAGUCAUCGUGGCCCUUACGCCCAGGGCUACACACGUGCUACAAUGGUCGGUACAAUGGGCAGCAAUACCGUGAGGUGGAGCGAAUCCCAAAAAGCCGGCCUCAGUUCGGAUUGGAGUCUGCAACUCGACUCCAUGAAGUCGGAAUCGCUAGUA